CAAUAGCGUAUAUUUAAGUUGUUGCAGUUAAAAAGCUCGUAGUUGGAUUUCGGGUAGGAUUUGCCGGUCCGUCUUUGAGAUGUGUACUGGUAAGUCCUAUCUUCUUGUCGGGGACCAGCUCCUGGGCUUCACUGUCCGGGACUGGGAGCCGACGAAGUUACUUUGAGUAAAUUAGAGUGUUCAAAGCAAGCCUACGCUCUGAAUAUAUUAGCAUGGAAUAACACGAUAGGACUCUGGCUUAUCUUGUUGGUCUGUGAGACCAGAGUAAUGAUUAAGAGGGACAGUCGGGGACAUUCGUAUUUCAUUGCCAGAGGUGAAAUUCUUGGAUUUAUGAAAGACGAACUUCUGCGAAAGCAUUUGUCAAGGAUGUUUNCAUUAA
This 379-nucleotide ribosomal RNA is filed under the name uncultured eukaryote. RNAcentral's name for it is "partial 18S ribosomal RNA". It matches the Rfam family "Eukaryotic small subunit ribosomal RNA", at positions 592 to 976 of the family's 1831-position model. The record is from RNAcentral.